CACUUAGAUCGCAAAACGGAACGCAAUAGGUGUUAAGGUUGUUCAGUUGUGUAGCUAGUGGGCAGCCGCUAUUUUGUUUAAUGCUACUACUGCGUCAUCUGGUGAACCACGCGUCUCGGCCGUCAGUGAAAACAUUCCCCUGUAGGUAUUAUCUCAAAAUUUCACCGAAAAAGAAGCUACGCGAAACAUGAGAAGAAUUUCUAGAAAAAAAACGUAUAGCUGUGCAAUUAUGAUAUCAUCGACUUGAAACAUUACCCUAAAAGAAAAAUUGAAAAAAAGAAGAAAAAAGAAAAAC
Molecule: long non-coding RNA, 295 nt
Organism: Ostrinia nubilalis (European corn borer)
Lineage: Eukaryota; Metazoa; Arthropoda; Insecta; Lepidoptera; Crambidae
Exons: 2
Source: RefSeq, a predicted model, not a curated record